Molecule: ribosomal RNA, 520 nt
Filed under: uncultured Glomus
Lineage: Eukaryota; Fungi; Glomeromycota; Glomeromycetes; Glomerales; Glomeraceae
Description: SSU rRNA
Rfam family: Eukaryotic small subunit ribosomal RNA
Source: RNAcentral
AGCAGCCGCGGUAAUUCCAGCUCCAAUAGCGUAUAUUAAAGUUGUUGCAGUUAAAAAGCUCGUAGUUGAAUUUCGGGACCAAUUUGUUGGUCGUGCCUCGGUACGUACUGGUAUUAUUGGUUUCUCCCUUCUGAAGAACCAUGAUGCCAUUAAUUUGGUGUCGUGGGGAAUCAGGACUGUUACUUUGAAAAAAUUAGAGUGUUUAAAGCAGGCAUACGCUUGAAUACAUUAGCAUGGAAUAAUGAAAUAGGACGUUUGAUUCUAUUUUGUUGGUUUCUAGGAUCGACGUAAUGAUUAAUAGGGAUAGUUGGGGGCAUUAGUAUUCAAUUGUCAGAGGUGAAAUUCUUGGAUUUAUUGAAGACUAACUACUGCGAAAGCAUUUGCCAAGGAUGUUUUCAUUAAUCAAGAACGAAAGUUAGGGGAUCGAAGACGAUCAGAUACCGUCGUAGUCUUAACCAUAAACUAUGCCGACUAGGGAUCGGAUGAUGUAAUUUUUAAUGACUCAUUCGGCGCCUUACGG